AAACUUUUAACAACGGAUCUCUUGGUUCUCGUAUCGAUGAAGAACGCAGCGAAACGCAAUAUUUCUUGUGAAUUGCAGAAGUGAAUCAUCAGUUUUUGAACGC
Molecule: ribosomal RNA, 103 nt
Filed under: uncultured eukaryote
Lineage: Eukaryota
Description: 5.8S ribosomal RNA
Rfam family: 5.8S ribosomal RNA
About the family: 5.8S ribosomal RNA (5.8S rRNA) is a component of the large subunit of the eukaryotic ribosome. It is transcribed by RNA polymerase I as part of the 45S precursor that also contains 18S and 28S rRNA. Functionally, it is thought that 5.8S rRNA may be involved in ribosome translocation.
Source: RNAcentral